This 254-nucleotide ribosomal RNA is filed under the name uncultured bacterium. RNAcentral describes it as "partial 16S ribosomal RNA". It matches the Rfam family "Bacterial small subunit ribosomal RNA", at positions 524 to 776 of the family's 1533-position model. The record is from RNAcentral.
CACGUAGGCACCAAGCGUUAUCCGGAUUUAUUGGGCGUAAAGAGCUCGUAGGCGGUUCGGUAAGUCGGGUGUGAAAACUCUGGGCUCAACCCAGAGAGGCCACCCGAUACUGCUGUGACUAGAGUGCGGUAGGGGAGCGGGGAAUUCCUGGUGUAGCGGUGAAAUGCGUAGAUAUCUGGAGGAACACCGGUGGCGAAGGCGGCAUCCUGGACCGGCAUUGACGCUGAGGAGCGAAAGCCAGGGGAGCAAACGGG